Loxodonta africana (African savanna elephant) is the source of this 25388-nucleotide long non-coding RNA. RefSeq lists it as uncharacterized. The transcript has 3 exons. Lineage: Eukaryota; Metazoa; Chordata; Mammalia; Proboscidea; Elephantidae. The record is from RefSeq and is a predicted model, not a curated record.
UUUGGAUUUGGGACAUUUUCUUCCCUGGAAGAGGCCAGGGGAUUUGAACUUUGAAAUGCAGAGCUUUGCCACAAAAGUAUUAUUAUGACAAGGUGAAAGUUCCAGGGGAGUGGAAGGCACUAACCUCUGGGGCCUUACAGAACAACGUAGGGCUGAACUGACUCUGUAGAGGCUGUAUGAGGUCCCUGUAGCUGCUGUAACAAAUGCCCACAAACUGAGUGGCUCAAAACAACAGACAUUUCUUCUCUCACAGUUCUGGGGGCCAGAAGUCCAAAAUCAAGGUGUCAACAGGGUCACGUUCCCUCCAAAAGGUCUAGGAAAGAAUCUGAUCCUUGCCUCUUCCAGAUUCUGGUGGCUCCACGCAUUUCUUGGAUUGUGGCCCCAUCACUCCAAUUUCUGCCUCCAUCUUCAUAUUGCCUCCGCCUCUUCUGUAUGUGUCAAAUCUCCCUUUGCCUCUGUCUUAUAAGGACAGUUGUGAUGGCAUAUACAACCCACCUAGAUAAUCUAGGACAAUCUCCCCAACCCAAGGUCCUUAACUUAAUCACAUCUGCAAAGACCCUAUUUCCUCAUAAGUUCACAUUCACAGGUUCUAAGGAUUAUCUGAUAUCUUUGGGGGAUAGCAUUCAGGUGACCACAGGUGCAUCAUUCCACCUGUUGCCACAGUUCCCUUUUCUAAUCAUAUAGAAGAGGUGGAGUCAGAGCAGUUAAGGAGGGUUCAGUUCACAGGGAGGCAUAUGUUAGAUUUCCAUCCAUUUAAAGCACCAACAAGUGUAGACCCAGGCCAAGUUUUGAGCAAGGCUUUUCGUUCCAGACCCCGCCUUCAAUCUAGAAAGGGGCACAACGUCAGUGGAGAGCCCUAGCCUGUGCCUGCUUGCUCCCUCCCCACUGGGGCGGUGAGUCUAAUUUCUGUUGGGUUUUCCUGAGCCUGGGCAGCUGGCGGAGAGGGGCCAUUUCUCAUCUGCUAUGGCUGGCAAGGGCUCAGACUCCCCCAUCAGUAGCUCCGAGAUCCUAGCCAUUCCUGUCUCUGACUAGAGCCCUGAUCUAAGACGACUCAGUGUUGCCUCCCCAGGCUCUUGCACUCAGCUCACGUUUGGGCUGAACUCACCUCACCUGGAGGCCACCUGUGGGAAGCCUAUGGGCUCCUGAGAUGGAGGCUGAGUUUUGGGGUUAGGAAGAUCCCAUAAGGAAUCCUGAUUUUGCCCUUCAUUUGGUCCUUCUCUCAUUCAUUGGAUGAAAUUUACCAGAUAGGCUUGAGCUAGGCUUUGGGGAUACAGGGCUGAGCCAGGGUCACCACGGUCCAGCCAUCGAAAUGGGAGCAAUCUCUCAGCACCGUGACCUGCCCUGCUGCAGGCUCUGCUCCCCGUCCAUCCAUGUCAUCCCAAAACAACUGAUGUGGGAGGUCCCCACCCAGCUUCCUAGCAUCUGGACGCCUCAGUUAUUGAGUCUGUAAAACAAGGAGGGAUGGGAGUAACACCCUUGUGCUGUUGGGGGUGGGCCACGAGAAGAGAGUGUGUGUAAGGUGUGUGGCACAGAGCGGGGCUCAGAGUGAACGUUUCAGAACAAUACCAAGCAGAGGGGCAUUCCUAUUCACAUGGUAACUGGCCAAGGGCCAGCCCUAGGCUCUGACCCACAGGGAUUCCCUUUAUUAGGAAGGGGUCAAAGCUUGGAGCAGAGGCCCAGCCCCACUGUCCUGGCAGUGGGUAGGAGAUAGCUUGCUUUCACAGAGGGACCCCUGUCCCUGGAGGCCAUCACUUGGGGUUUGUCUGAAGCUGGUGGCAGGGCUGGAGGUGCCUCCACUUUGUCUAAACUCUGAUUCUGAGGCUGCUGACCCCCCAACCUUACAGAGAAGAAGCUCUUCAUCUCACCCAACCCUGACCCAAGGAAAACCAAGGCCCCAGGGCAGAGAAUCAGGGUCAGAGUUCAGUUUCUAGGCAGUCCUAUGUCUACCCUACCCAUGUCCACCUUCCUCACCAUGACCUGGGUGUUCUUGUGUCUGCAUGUCCUUACAGACAGCCUGACAGCAAUGACACAGCUUCUAGACCACCAUUAGGUGCAUGUUGAUGCAUUCGUGGAAACCAGCACCGAUGCCCAUGGAAAAGGUGGUUCCCCCACCUGGGCAGAUGGACCACAGUGUGCCUGGCCAUUGCCUCACCACUGAGGGAAGCAUCUCCUUGCUCAUUUACAUCUGCUUCCUAGGGCAGCAGAGUAUGUUUCUAUAGAACCAAAGCUGCACCUAACAGCCAUGUCUGCCAUGCAGUUCAGAUAAAAAUGUGGUCAUGCUUAGCAUACUUAAAAAAAAUAAAGGAAAAGGAAAGAAAUUCUACUACCUGCAAAGCCUGCACGCUACUAACACUCCUGCAUGUUUGUGGAGGAUGGAGCUCUCCAUUCCGUCCACUGCUGGCUUCGCCGUCCUUUCUGGAGUUCGGGUUCAUGGCUACGCUGAAGGUGUAAGUCCUAGGGGAACAAACAGAUGCUGUAAACAGAUAAGCAAUGACAUUGGGAACAAUGGAAUAUUAUUCAGCCACAAAGAGAAAUGAAGUCCUGAUACAUGCUGUAACAUGGACUAACCUUGAAAACAUUAUACUGAGUGAAAUAAGUCAGUCAUGAAAGGACAAAUAUUGUAUGAUUCCACUUAUAUGAAAUAUCUAGAAUAGACCAAAGUUUAUUAGUGGUUACCAGAGGCAGAGGUGGCACAAGACGUUAAGCACUCGGCUACUAACUGAAAAGCUGGCGGUUCAGAUCCACCCAGUGGCUCUUAAGGAUGAAGACUUGGUGAUCUACUGCCAUGAUGAUUACAGUCAAGAAAAUCCUAAGGGGGCAGUUCUGCUCUGUCACAUGUGAUGACCAUGAGUAAAAAUAGACUCUACGGCACCUAAGAACAACAACAGGGGCAGGAGGGAGGUGAGUCUUUACUUAGAGGGCAUUGAGUUUCUGCUAAUGGUGUGGAAUAAUUUUGAAAAGGAGAGUGAUAAUGGAUGCAUAAUAUGAUAAGUGUAAUCGAUGUCACUGAAUUGUACAUGUAAAAAUUGUUCCGGGUUCUCUUCUAAAUCUGGCUUAAACUUCUGGUAUUUCCCUGAUGAUGUAUAAUUGCAGUCAUUUUUCAACUAUCUGUAGCAAAAUUUUGCUAUCACGUGACACUAGUGGUGUUUUUAGAUAAUUUCCUCAAUCCGUUUGAUAGACUUUCUUUGGAAUGAGCAUGAAUGUGGAUCUCUUCCAAUCAGUUGUCCAGGUAGCUGUCUUCCAAAUUUCUUGACAUACAUGAGUAAGCGCUUCCAGUUUGGUAUCUGUUUGUUGAAGCAUCUCAAUUGGUAUUCCGUCAAUUCCUAGAGCCUUGUUUCUCAUCAAUGCCUUCAGUGAAUCUUGAACUUCUUCCUCAAGUACCAGCCGUUCUUGGUCAUAUACUGUCUCCUGAAAUGGUUGAACAUGGACCAAUUCUUUUUGCUACAGUAACUCUGUGUAUUCCUUCCAUCUUUGUUUGAUGCUCACUGUGUCACUCAAUCUUUUGCCCAUAGAAUCCUUCUGUAUUGCAACUCAAGGCUUGAAUAGUCACUUCAAGUUCUUUCAGCUUGAGAAAUGUGAGCAUGUUCUUCCCUUUUGACUUUCCAACUGUGUAUCUUUGCACAUUUCAUCAUAACACUUUAUCUUGUCUUCUUGAGCAAUCCUUUGAAAACUGUUCAUCAUUUUUUCUGUUUUCUUUAGCUACUCUGUACUUAAGAGCAAGUUUCCAAGUAUCUUCUGACAUUCAUUUUGGUCUUUUCCUCUUUUUCUGUCUCUUUAAUGAUCUUUCACUUUCUUCAUGUAUGAUGUCCUCUCACAACUCUCUUGAUUUUUGGUCAUUAGUGCUCAGCGUGUCAAAUCUAUUCUUGAGAUGGUCUCUAAGUUCGGGUGGGAUGUAUUCAAGGCUGUAUUUUGGCUCUUCUGAACUUCCUUUGAUUUUCUUCAGCUUCAACUUGAACUUGCACGUGAGUGAUUAAUGGUCUGUUUCAUAUUUGCCUCCUGGAUUUGUCUUGGCUGGUGAUGUUGAGCUUCUUCACUGUCUCUUUUCACAGAUAUAGUUGAUUCCUGUGUAAUCCAUCUGGUGAGGUCCACAUGCAUAGCCACCACUUAUGUUAUUGAACAAAAGGAUUUCUGAUUAAUAAAUCUUUGGUCUUGUAUAAUUCUAUCAUGUGAUCUCUGGCAUCAUUUCUACCAUGAAGCCCACAUUUUCCAACUACUGAUUCUUCCUCUUUGUUUCCAACCUUUGCAUCCCAAUCACCAGUAAUUAUCAAUGCAUCUUGAUUGCACAUUUGAUUAAUUUCAGCCUAUAGUAGGUUAUAAAAAUCUUGAAUUUCUCCAUCUUUGGCAUUUAUGGUUGUUGUGUUAAUUUGAAUAAUACUGUGUUAACUGGUUUUCCUUGUAUGUGUAUGUAUAGCUACCUGUCACUGACAGUGUUGUACUUCAGGAUAGAUCUUGAAAUGUUCUUUUUAAUGAUGAAUGUCAACUUCUAAUGCUGUUAUUUGAAAAUAUUUUAACAGCUGCAUAAUAUUUAACAUACGCAUAUAUCAUAAUUUGAAUAACCAUUUCCCUAAAUUGUCAGAAAUGUAGGUCGCUUCCAUUUUCAAAACUGCUUUCUAAAACCUGACAAAGAAUAUCUUUGUAUACAAACCACGAUUUCUUCCAGAAGAUGGAGUCACAGAAGGAGACUAUUUCUAAGCUUCUUCAUGCCAAUUGCUAAAUUGCUUUCUAGAAAUUUUCACUCCCAUCAGCUUUGGAGGAAUGCACCUAACUCACUAUAUGUUUCCUAGUGUUAAUACUGUUUUCAAAUAAAAAAGACAAAAAACAAGCAAACAAUUCUUAUUUGAGAGGUGAAAAUGGUGCCUAAUUUUAUUUUGCAUUUAUUGCUGAUGAACAGCAACUUUUAUUUUCCAUUUAUUUCUUAGUCAAUGCAUUUCUCUUCUGUUCUUGUCCUUUGGCCAUUUUUUCUGCAUCAGUGCUUCUCUUAGCAAUUUUUGAGUAAACUCUAUAUACGAAGACAACAGUAAGUGUCUUCUUGGUCAGUUAAAUGAAAAAGUCAGAUACAAGUCAACUGAGGGAGAAGUACUUGAGGGCUAGAUGGUGUUCAGGGACAUGUGAGCAACAGCUGGUGCAAUUUAUGGACGAAGAGAGUGCAGUGGUUAAUCUGCUCAAUUCUAUGACUGUUAAGGGAAUGUCAACUUUAUUAAUAUUUUAUUUGGUGAAAAGCACGUUUCUCACCUUGCUAUAUGGAUUGUAAUAUUCUUUAUGAUAUUUUAAAACAUGUUGUUGUUAGUUACUGUCAAGUUGACUUUGGCUCAUAGAAACUCUAUGGGGCAUUUCUACUCUGUCCUAUAGGGUCGCUAUGAGUCGGAAUUGACUCAGCGGCACUGGGUUUUAACCUUAUAUAUGACAGAAAGAAACAUGAACAUAUAUAAGUCAAAUUCUGUGCUUUUAAUAAUCAUUAAAGACAAAUCUGGUCUCAUUGUAAUAUCCCUUCCAUUGCUUUCACCCAUCCAGAAAUCAGAAACAGGUCCAUUUAAACUGCCGUCUAUUUUUCAUUGAUUUUCUUUUUCUAUUUAGUUCUUUAAUCUAUCAGGAGUUUAUUUCAAAAUAUGAUGUGAAGUAUUUAUUUUAUAUCUCUUUCCCUAUUUCUGAUGUGUCCUUCAUCAUGUAAGAAUUUCCCAAUAAAGCAGGCCUGCUCCUCUGUUCCACAACUCAUCUGUGAAUUUGCCUGACUGUAGUGGCUUGUGUGUUGCUGUGAUGCUAGAAGAUAUGCCACCGGUAUUUCAAAUACCAGCAGGGUCAUCCAUGGUGGUCAGGUUUCAGUGGAGCUUCCAAACUAAGAUAGACCAGGAAGAAGGACCUGGCAGUCUACUUCUGAAAAAAAAAAUAUUGGCCAGUGAAAAUCUUAUGAAUAGCAGCAGAACAUUGUUUGAUAUAGUGCUGGAAGAUGAGCCCCUCAGGUUAGAACACACUCAAAAUACGACUGGGAAGAACUGCCUCUUCAGAGUAGAGCUGACAUUAAUGACAUGGAUAAACCUUUCAUUUGAUGAUGUGGCACGAAUCAAAAUGAGAAGAAACAGCUGCAAACAUCCGUUAAUAAUCGGAACAUGAAAUGCACAAAGUAUGAAUCUAGGAAAAUUGGAAGUAAUCAAAAAUGAAAUGAAAUGCAUAAACAUUGAUAUCCCAGGCAUAAGUGAGCAGAAAUGGACUGGUAGUGGCCAUUUUGAAUUGGAUAAUUGUAUGGUCUACUACACUGGAAAUGACAAAUUGAAGAGGAAUGGUGUCACAUUCAUUGUCAAAAAGAACAUUUCAAGAUCUAUCCUGAAGUACAAGGCUGUCAGUGAUAGGUUAAUAUCCACAUGCCUACAAGGAAGACCAGUUAAUAUGACUAUUAUUCAAAUUUACCCAACAACCACAAAAGCCAAAGAUGAAGAAAUUAAAAAAUUUUUACCAACUUCUGCAGCCUGAAAUUGAUCAAACAUGCAAUCGAGAUGCAUUGAUAAUUACUAGUGAUUGGAAUGCAAAAGUUGGAAACAAAAAAGGACUGGUAGUUGGAAAAUACGGCCUUGGUGAUAGAAACAAUGCUGGAAAUUGCAUGACAGAAUUUUGCAAGACCAACAACUUCUUCAUUGCAAAAACCAUUUCUCAACAACAAAAAAAGUGACUAUAGGGAGGGGCCAAGAUGGCUGACUAGGUAGAAGCUACCUCAGAUCCCUCUUGCAACAAAGACUUGGAAAAACAAGUGAAUCAAUCACAUACAUGACAAUCUAUGAACCCUGACCAUCAAACACAGAUCUAAAGACUUGACCUGAGUGACAGAGACUGAGAACAAACAACCACGGGGAAGCAGCGACUGUUUUCAGAGCCUGGAGCCAGCGUUCCAGUCAGAAAACCUUGGCACCAGGCUUUGGACUAGGCGCAGGGAAGCUGAACAUGGCAUCCUGUGACGGGGCAAACACGGGACGCAGCCCUACCCCCCAGAAUUGACCUCGGGGGAAGCCCAUCCAGUGCACGCAGGCAGCGCAGCGACGUGGCUGACAGGAGGAGAAGUCACUGGGAGGCAGCGACUGGUUUUGGAGCCGGGAGUGUGGCGUCCCAGCCGGGGAACCUUGGCGCUGGGCUUUGGAUUGGGAGCAGAGGAACUGACCACGGCUUCUGAGACAGCACAAGCACAGGACGUGGGCCUGACCCUCGGAGGCAAUCUCUACCCAGCCAACACACACAGGCUACAUACCCCUCGGGAAUCUCAGAUAAAACAGUCAUCCAAGCAAGAUAAGUAACUUUGUCUAUAUUCCGGUGUGCUACUUUCUCCUAUUUAUCUGAACCCUCCCCUCCCCUUCCCAGGCGGCUUCAUUAACAUUGGAAUUUCCUGAGCCAGAGAGUGAACUACGCCAUGGUUUUUCUUUUUUUUGGUCUUUUCCUAACCCAUUCUCCUGGCUUGAGAGAAGCAGCUACAAAAAACCCAGGGACCAAAAAUCCUUCCCUAAUUGAACUAAAAACACAGAACCAGCUCCAGCCAAGCACAUGUGAUCCACAGUCUUGGGCUUUCAUCCCUACAGGGAAGAGGUGGCGAUUAUAAUGCAAAGGCAUUUCUGAUAGGGAUCUGACCGUAAUUGUUUUAGCAGAUUACUGAAAAGACAAGUUUCCCAGGUCUGAUAUCUCUGCGUAUUCAACAGAGACCUCACUGACCCACAACAGGGAACUGAGGGCUGAAGCUCCCCCUAGACCACCUAGCCUCCAGCCUUAGGGGUGUAAGGAGGGUGACACCUACCAAUCUGUAGAGGUACUUGCAUUGGGGGCCUAACGUACAGCUGCAGAGCCCGCCCACCAAAGUGCUUUAGGAAUAGAGACACACCUACCUCACUGGCACUUGGGGGAAGCCUGUCAGCAUCAUGCCCCCCCGCCGGAGUGUGAACCCCUGCUGCUACUAGAAUCUGGUGCACACAGCUAUCACCACUACUUCUCUAGGUGGAUAGGUGACAGUCUGCACUACACACUUGGUGACCCAAAAUCAGAUUCUACUCAAGAAUAGUGAAUGGACUCUUAGGCUUAUAUAUCUGGUAACAGCCCAAACCAGCUGGUAAUAGGACUUAAGUGAUUCAAGGGCUACAACAAUCAAGACAGCGCAAUCUAGUAGCCCAUCUACGUAUAUUGAAAGAAAACAAGAUAAGACUCAGUGAGCAAAUAUAGAAUAAAUCCCUACAACAUCUUAGAGAUGGCUCAGAGACAGCAGUCAAUAUCAAAGCACAUAAAGAAGCAGACCAUGAUUGCUUCUACAACUCCCCAAAUUAAAGGAUCAAAAUCUUUCCCAAAUGAAGAUAUGAUCCUGGAAUUGCCAGAUACAGAAUAUAAAAAACUAAUUUACAGAAUGCUUCAAGACAUCAGGGAUGACCUCAGAAAUGAAAUAAUGCAAUCUACAGAAAAAGCCAAGGAACACACUGAUAAAGCAGUUGAAGAACUCAAAAAGAUUAUUCAAGAACAUAGUGGAAAAAUUAAUAAGUUGCAUGAAUCCAUAGAGAGACAGCAUUCAGAAAUCCAAAAGAUUAACAAUAAAAUUACAGAAUUAGACAAUGCAAUAGGAAGUCAGAGGAGCAGACUUGAGCAGUUGGAAUGCAGAGUGGGAAAUCUGGAGGACUAGGGAAUUGACACCAAUAUAGCUGAAAAAAAUCAGAUAAAAGAAUUAAAAAAAAUGAAGAAACCCUAAGAAUCAUGUGGGACUCUAUCAAGAAGAAUAACUUGCAUGUGACUGGAGUCUCAGAACAGGGAGGGAUAUCAGAAAACACAGAGAGAAUAGUUGAAGAUCUGUUGGCAGAAAACUUCCCGGACAUCAUGAAAGAUGAAAGGAUAUCUAUCCAAGAUGCUCAUCGAACCCCAUUUAAGAUUGAUCCAAAAAGAAAGUCACCAAGACAUAUUAUCAUCAAACUUGCCAAAACCAAAGAUAAAGAGAAAAAUUUAAAAGCAGCCAGGGAUAAAAGAAAGGUCUCCUACAACGGAGAAUCAAUAAGAAUAAGUUCAGACUACUCAGCAGAAACCAUGCAGGCAAGAAGGCAAUGGGAUGACAUAUAUAGAGCACUGAAGGAGAAAAACUGCCAGCCAAGGAUCAUAUAUCCAGCAAAACUCUCUCUAAAAUAUAAAGGCGAAAUUAAAGUAUUUACAGAUAAACACAAGCUUAGAGAAUUUGCAAAAACCAAAUCAAAGCUACAAGAAAUAUUAAAGGAAAUUGUUUGGUCAGAAAACCAAUAAUAUCAGAUACCAGUACAACACAAGGUCACAGAACAGAACAUCCUGAUAUCAACUAAAAUAGGGAAAUCACAAAAACAAAUUAAGAUUAAUUUUAAAAAGAAACAAAUGCUCAAAACAGGGAAUCAUUGAGGUCAAUACGUAAAAGAUUACAAUAAUCAAAAAGAGGGACUAAAUACAGGUGGCAUAGAACUGCCAUAUGGAGAGGGAUACAAGGCGAUAUAGGACAAUACAAGUUAGGUUUUCACUUAGAAAAAUAGGGGUAAAUAUUAAGGUAACCACAAAGAGGUAUAACAACUCCAUAACUCAAAAUAAAAACCAAGAAAAACUCAGCAAACAUAAAGUCAAAUACUAUGAAAAUGAGGAACACACAAUUUACAAAGAAAAACGUCUCAGCACAAGAAAGUAAGUGGAAAAAUGAAAUUGUCAACAACACACAUAAAAAGGCAUCAAAAUGACAGCACUAAACACAUACUUAUCUAUAAUUACGCUGAAUGUAAAUGGACUAAAUGCACCAAUAAAGAGACAGAGAGUCUCAGACUGGAUAAAGAAACACGAUCCGUCUAUAUGCUGCCUACAAGAGACACACCUUAGACUUAGAGACACAAACAAACUAAAACUCAAAGGAUGGAAAAAAAUAUAUCAAGCAAACAAUAAGCAAAAAAGAGCAGGAGUAGCAAUAUUAAUUUCUGACAAAACAGACUUCAAAGUUAAAUCCACCACAAAAGAUAAAGAAGGACACUACAUAAUGAUUAAAGGGACAAUUGACCAAGAAGAUAUAACCAUAUUAAAUAUUUAUGCACCCAAUGACAGGGCUGCAAGAUACAUAAAACAAAUUUUAACAGAACCGAAAAGUGAGAUAGACACCUCCACAAUUAUAGUAGGAGACUUCAACACACCACUUUCGGAGAAGGACAGGACAUCCAGUAAGAAGCUCAAUAGAGACACGGAAGACCUAAUUGCUACAAUCAACCAACUUGACCUCAUUGACUUAUACAGAACUCUCCACCCAACUGCUGCAAAGUAUACUUUUUUUUCCAGCGCACAUGGAACAUUCUCUAGAAUAGACCACAUAUUAGGUAAUAAAACAAACCUUUGCAGAAUCCAAAACAUCGAAAUAUUACAAAGCAUGUUCUCAGACCAUAAGGCCAUAAAAGUGGAAAUCAGUAACAGAAAAAUUAGGGAAAAGAAAUCAAAUAGUUGGAAGCUGAACAAUACCCUGCUCCAAAAAGACUGGAUUAUAGAAGACAUUAAGGAGGGAAUAAAGAAAUUCAUAGAAUGCAACGAAAAUGAAAAUACUUCCUAUCAAAACCUCUGGGACACAGCAAAAGCAAUGCUCAGAGGUCAAUUUAUAUCAAUAAAUGCACACAUACAAAAAGAAGAAAGAGCCAAAAGCAGAGAACUGUCCCUACAACUUGAACAAAUAGAAAGUGAGCAACAAAAGAACCCAUCAGGCACCAGAAGAAAACAAAUAAUAAAAAUUAGAGCUGAACUAAAUGAAUCAGAGAACAGAAAAACAAUUGAAAGAAUUAACAAAGCCAAAAGCUGGUUCUUUGAAAAAAUUAACAAAAUUCAUAAACCAUUGGCCAGACUGACUAAAGAAAUACAAGAAAGGAAACAAAUAACCCAAAUAAGAAACAAGAUGUGCCACAUCACAACAGACCCAACUGAAAGUAAAAGAAUCAUAUCAGAUUAUUAUGAAAAAUUGUAUUCUAAGAAAUUUGCAAACCUAGAAGAAAUGGAUGAAUUCCUAGAAAAACACUACCUACCUAAACUAACACAAUCAGAAGUAGAACAACUAAAUAGACCCAUAACAAAAAAAGAGAUUGAAACGGUAAUCAAAAAACUUCCAACAAAAAAAAAGCCCUGGCCCGGAUGGCUUUACUGCAGAGUUCUACCAAACGUUCAGAGAAGAGUUAACACCACUACUACUAAAGGUAUUUCAAAGCAUAGAAAAUGACGGAAUACUACCUAACUCAUUCUAUGAAGCUGCCAUAUCCCUGAUACCAAAACCAGGUAAAGACAUCACAAAAAAAAAGAAAAUUACAGACCUAUAUCCUCAUGAACAUAGAUGCAAAAAUCCUCAACAAAAUUCUAGCCAAUAGAAUUCAACAACAUAUCAAAAAAAAAAAUAAUCCACCACGACCAAGUGGGAUUUAUACCAGGUAUGCAAGGCUGGUUAAUAUUAGAAGAACCAUUAAUGUAAUCCACCAUAUAAAUAAAACAAAAGACAAAAACCACAUGACCUUACCAAUUGAUGCAGAAAAGGCAUUUGACAAAGUCCAACACCCAUUUAUGAUAAAAACUCUUACCAAAAUAGGAAUUGAAGGAAAAUUCCUCAACAUAAUAAAGGGCAUCUAUACAAAGCCAACAGCCAACAUCACUCUAAAUGGAGAGAGCCUGAAAGCAUUUCCCUUGAGAAUGGGAACCAGACAAUGAUGCCUUUUAUCACCACUCUUAUUCAACAUUGUGCUAGAGGUCCUAGCCAGAGCAAUUAGGCUAGACAAAGAAAUAAAGGGUAUCCGGAUUGGCAAGGAAGAAGUAAAAUUAUCUCUAUUUGCAGAUGACAUGAUCUUAUACACAGAAAAUCCUAAGGAAUCCUCCAGAAAACUACUGAAACUAAUAGAAGAGUUUGUCAGUCUCAGGUUAUAAGAUAAACAUACAAAAAUCACUUGGAUUCCUCUACAUCAACAAAAAGAACAUCGAAGAGGAAAUCACCAAAUCAAUACCAUUCACAGUAGCCCCCAAGAAGAUAAAAUACUUAGGAAUAAAUCUUACCAAAGAUGUAAAAGACCUAUAUGAAGAAAACUACAAAGUACUACUACAAGAAACUAAAAAGGACCUACUUAAGUGGAAAAACAUACCUUGCUCAUGGAUAGGAAGAUUUAACAUAGUAAAAAUGUCUAUUCUACCAAAAGCCAUCUAUACAUACAAUGCACUUCUGAUCCAAAUCCCAAUGUCAUUUUUUAAUGUGAUGGAGAAACAAAUCACCAACUUCACAUGGAAGGGAAAGAAGCCUCGGAUAAGUAAAGCAUUACUGAAAAAGAAGAAGAAAGUGGGAGGCCUCACUCUACCUGAUUUUAGAACCUAUUAUACAGCCACAGUAGUCAAAACAGCCUGGUACUGGUACAACAACAGGCACAUAGACCAAUGGAACAGAAUUGAGAACCCAGAUAUAAAUCCAUCCACAUAUGAGCAGCUGAUAUUUGACAAAGGCCCAGUGUUAGUUAAUUGGGGAAAAGACAGUCUUUUUAACAAAUGGUGCUGGCAUAACUGGAUAUCCAUUUGCAAAAAAAUGAAACAGGACCCAUACCUCACGCCAUGCACAAAAACUAAUUCCAAGUGGAUCAAAGACCUAAACAUAAAGACUAAAAUGAUGAAGAUCAUGGAAGAAAAAAUAAGGACAACGUUAGGAGCCCUAAUAAAAGGCAUAAACAGAAUACAAAAUAUUACCAAAAAUGUUGAACAGAAACCAGAUAAGUGGGAGCUCCUAAAAAUCAAACACCUAUGCUCAUCUAAAGACUUCACCAAAAGAGUAAAAAGACCACCUACAAAUUGGGAAAGAAUUUUCAGCUAUGACAUCUCUGACCAGCACCUGAUCUCUAAAAUCUACAUGAUUCUGUUAAAACUCAACCACAAAAAGAUAAACAACCCAAUCCAAAAGUGGGCAAAGGAUAUGAACACGCACUUCACUAAAGAAGAUAUUCAGGCAGCUAACAGAUACAUGAGAAAAUGCUCUCGAUCAUUAGCCAUUAGAGAAAUGCAAAUUAUACUACGAUGAGAUUCCGUCUCACUCCAACAAGGCUGGCAUUAAUCCAAAAAACACAAAAUAAUAAAUGUUGGAGAGGCUGCAGAAAGAUUGAAACUCUUAUAUACUGCUGGUGGGAGUGUAAAAUGGUACAACCACUUUGGAAAUCUAUCUGGCGUUUUCUUAAAAAGUUAGAAAUAGAACUACCAUUAAAAAAAAAAAAAGCUUUUUUUUUUUUUUACAACCCAGAAAUCCCACUCCUUGGAAUAUACCCUAGAGAAAUAAGAGCCUUCACACGAACAGAUAUAUGUACUCCCAGGUUUAUUGCAGCUCUGUUUACAAUAGCAAAAAGCUGGAAGCAACCAAGGUGUCCAUCAACGGAUGAAUGGUUAAAUAAAUUGUGGUAUAUUCACACAAUGGAAUACUACGCAUCGAUAAAGAACAGUGACGAAUCUGUGAAACAUUUCAUAACAUGGAGGAACCUGGAAGGCAUUAUGCUGAGUGAAAUUAGUCAGAUGCAAAAGGACAAAUACUGUAUAAGACCACUAUUAUAAGAUCUUGAGAAAUAGUAUAAACUGAGAAGAACACAAACUUUUGUGGUUACGAGGGGAGGAGGGAGGGAGAGUGGGAGAGGGUUAUUUACUGAUUAGUUAGUAGAUGAGAACUACUUUAGGUGAAGGGAAGGACAAUACUCAAUACAUGGAAGCUCAGCUCAACUGGACUGGACCAAAAGCGAAGAAGUUUCCGGGAUAAAAUGAAUGCUUCAAAGGAGCAAGGGCGGGGGUUUGGGGACUAUGGCUUAAGGGGACUUCUAAGUCAGUUGGCAAAAUAAUACUACUAUGAAAACAUUCUGCAUCCUACUUUGAAAUGUGGCGUCUGGGGUCUUAAAUGCUAACAAGCAGCCAUCUAAGAUGCAUCAAUUGGUCUCAACCCACCUGGAUCAAAGGAGAAUGAAGAACACCAAGGUCACACGAUAACUAUGAGCCCAAGAGACAGAAAGGGCCACAUGAACCAGAGACUUACAUCAUCCUGAGACCAGAAGAACUAGAUGGUGCCCGGCCACAACCGAUGACUGCCCUGACAGGAAGCACAACAGAGAACCCCUGAGGGAGCAGGAGAUCGGUGGGAUGCAGACCCCAAAUUCUCAUAAAAAGACCAGACUUAAUGGUCUGACUGAGACUAGAAGAAUCCUGGUGGUCACGGUCCCCAAACCUUCUGUUGGCCCAGGACAGGAACCAUUCCCGAAGACAACUCAUCAGACAUGGAAGGGACUGGACAACGGGUUGGAGAGAGAUGCUGAUGAAGAGUGAGCUACUUGUAUCAGGUGGACACUUGAGACUGUGUUGGCUUCUCUUGUCUGGAGGGCAGAGAGGGUUAGAAACUGGCAAAAUUGUCAUGAAAGGAGAGACUGGAAGGGCUGACUCAUUACGGGGAGAGUAAGUGGGAGUAUGGAGUAAGAUGUAUAUAAGUUUAUAUGUGAUAGACUGACUUGAUUUGUUCACUUGAGCUCAAUAAAAAUUAUUAAAAAACAAAAACAAAACAGUGACUAUACAUUUGGACCUCAUCUGAUGGAAUACACAGGAAUCAAAUUGACUACAUAUGUGGAAAGAGACAAUGGGAGAAGCUCAAUAUUACCAGUCAGAACAAGGCUAGGAGCUGACUGCAGAACAGACCAUCAAUUUCUCACAUGCAAGUUCAAGUUGAAGCUGAAGAAAAUUACAGCAAGUCCACAAAAGUCAAAGUACGACCAUGAGCAUAUCCCACCUGAGAGAGGUGGGGUCAAGAUGGCGGAGUAGUCAGAGACUUCUUGUGGUCCCUCUUAAAACAAAAACUGAAAAAACAAGUGAAUCAUUUUUGUAUUACAAGCUAGAAGCCCUGAAUGUCAAAGGAAAAAUUGAGGAAUUGGACUGAGCAGCAGUCAGAGGGAGAAACAGUUCAGAAGCAGCGAGGAGUUGCCAGACCCGACCCAGCAGGAACUGGCACCCCUCAGGCCAUUUUCACUGGGGCGAGCAUGGUGAGGCAAGCAGAGGCAUUCAGGAUGCUUUUUCCACAUCGGGAGAGGUCAAAUGGUGGAGAGUCUGCUCAACGCUCCAAAACAAACGAGAAGUGACCCUCAAUCGACAAAUGAUAAGUACUUGCAUUUAACCUACCACAAUCCCAAAAUAUACCCCUUUGGGAAAAUCUCUCUCCCACUUACCUUUUCCCUUCCCACUUUGUGCUGUGUCCCAGCUGACUACAUCCCCUGGGCUAAAACAAGGACCCUGCACUCGCCCUGAGCCAUUCUCCUGUUGGAGAGAGACCAAAUUAAUAAACAUGGGAAAAAUAAUCUGCCAGCUCCCCUAAACUGGGAACUCAGAGCAGAAACAGCUCCUUUGUCUAGGCACAGGCAUAAGGGGUCCACAGACUUUGAAUGCCUUUCACCACUGUAUAGAACUGUGUGGGCUCAUUUCAACAGUGUAGGCCCUCAUUAGCACAGUGCGACAGGGUAUAUACCUUGAGUCUAACUUCAACUGUUUCAGCUACGUGCUGGGGAGGCAGGUUUGUAUCAUUUGACAUCGCUCUGCCUAUUAUGUAGGGUCCUCACCUACACACAUCAGGGGCCUGAGGACUGGUGACUCCACUCAUGACACCUAGCCACCCAUGACAGGGGUCCAAGAAUAAGUGGUGCCUCCCAGUCCUUACAGCCAACAGCAUUGGGUACCCACAGUCCAGCUGCAAAACGUACCCACCUAUGUGCUCCAGGGAACAGGGACAUACUUUCCUCACAGACACCCAGGAGCAGGUGCCAGCCCUGUGCCUUCCUCAGCGUGUGACCCCCCUGCUUCAGCCAGAUACCUGUGCCUACGCCAAUCACCCUUGCUUGCCUAGGACUGUAGGUGAGAGCCUGCACCACACACUUGGUGACUGACUAUCUGGAUACCUGAGCUGAAUCCAUACAAGAAAAGUGAAUGGACUCCUGGGUUCAUAUACCUAGUAUCAACUGUAACCACCAAGUGACAGGAUGUUAGAGCUUCAAAGGCACCAAUAAUCAAACUAGCUCACUCGAGAAGCCUAUUUGGGCAUAUCAAAACAAAACAAAACAAAACAAGAAGCUAGGACAAAGUAAGCAAACAUAAAAUAAAUUAAUACAAUAACUUAUUGACGGCUUGGAGACAACAGUCAAUAUCAAAUCACAUGAAGAGGCAGAACACAAUGGCUUCAGUGAGCUCCCAAAACAAAGAAUCAAGAAAUCUUCCAGAUGAAGAUAAUUUCUGGAAUUACUGGAGGUAGAGUACAAAAGAUUAAUAUUCAGGACUCUUCAAAGGAUCAGGAAGGAGAUCAGGCAAAAUGAAGAACAAGCCAAGGAACACACAGACAAAGCAUUAGAGGAACUUAAACAGACUAGACAAGAACAUAAUGACAAAAUUUAUAGGCUGCAAGAAUCCAUAGAGAGACAGCAAACAGGAAUUCAGAAGAUUACCAAUAAAAUUUCAGAUUUAGACAAUUCAAUAGUAUAUCCCACCGGAACUUAUAGACCAACUCAAGAACAGAUUUGAUGCAUUGAACGCUAAUGACCAAAGAUCAGGCAAGUUGUGAAAUGACAUCAAGGACAUUAUACAUGAAGAAAGCAAAAGGUCAUUAAAAAGACAAGAAAGAAAGAAAAGACCAAAAUGGAUGUCAGAAGAGAUUGUGAAACUUGCUCUUGAACGAGGAAUAGCUAAAGCAAAAGGAAGAAAUGAUGAAGCAAAAGAGCUGAACAGAAGAUUUCAAAAGGCAGCUUGAGAAAACAGAGUAAAGUAUUACAAUGAAAUGUGGAAAGAUCUGGAGUCAGAAAACCAAAAGGGAAGGACACACUCAGCAUUUCUAAAACUGAAAGAACUGAAGAAAAAAUUCAAGUCUUGAGUUGCAAUAUUGAAGGAUUCUAUGGGCAAAAUACUGAAGGAUGCAGGAAGCAUCCAAAGAAGAUGGAAGGAAUACACAGAGUCAGUCGAUGUUCAACCAUUUCAAGGACAUAGCAUAUGAUCAAGAACCAAUAGUACUGAAGGAAGAAGUCCAAGCUGCACUGAAGGGAAUGGCAAAAAACAAGGCUCCAGGAAUUGAUGGAAUGCCAACUGAGAUGUUUCAACAAAAGGAUGCAAUGCUGGAAGUGUUCAUUCAUUCGUCUAUGCCAAGAAAUUGGGAAGACAGCUACCUGGCCAACCGACUGGAACAGAUCCAUAUUUGUGCCCAUUCCAAAGAAAAGUGAUCCAAUAGAAUGUGGAAAUUAUUGAACAAUAUCAUAGGCAAGUAAAAUUUUGCUGAAGAUCAUUCAAAAGUGGUUGCAGAAGUACAUCGACAAGGAACUGCCAGAAUUCAAGCCAGAUUCAGAAGAGGACGGAGGACGUGGAAGUAGAGAUAUCACUGCUGAUGUCAGAUGGAUCUUGGCUGAAUGCAGAGAAUAACAGAAAGAUGUUUACCUGUGCAAAGCUGACCUAUGCAAAGGUAAACAUCGAGUGUGUGGAUCAUAACAAAUUAUGGAUAACAUUGUGAAGAAGGGAAUUCCAGAACACUUAAUUGUGCUCAUGAGGAACCUUUACGUAGAUCAGGAGGCAGUCAUUCAAAAAGAACAGGGGGAUACUGCUUGGUUGUAUCCUUUCACUAUACUUAUUCAAUCUGUUUGCGGAGCAAAUGAUCUGAGAAGCUGGAUUAUAUGAAGAAGAACGAGAAAUCAGGAUGGAGGAAGACUCAUUAACAACCUGUGAUAUGCAGAUGAUACAACCUUCCUUGCAGAAAGUGAAGAGGACUUGAAGCACUUAUUAAUGAAGAUCAAAGACCACAGCCUUCAGUAUGGACUGCACUGCAAAAUAAAGCAAACAAAAAUCCUAACAACUGGACCAAUGACCAACAUCAUGAUAAACAGAGAAAAGAUUGAAGUUGUCAAGGAUUUCAUUUUACUUGGAUCCACAAUCAACAGCCAUGGAAGCAGCAGUCAAGAAAUCAAAAGAUGCAUUGCAUUGGGUAAAUCUGCUGCAAAGGACCUCUUCAAAGCGUUGAAGAGCAAAGAUGUCACCUUGAAGACUAAGGUGCUCCUGACCCAAGCCAUGUUAUUUUCAAUUACAUCAUAUGCAUGUGAAAGCUAGACAAUUAAUAAUGAAGACUGAAGAAGAAUUGACGCCUUUGAAUUGUGGUGUUGGUGAACAAUAUUGAAUAUACCAGGGACUGCCAAAAGAACAAACAAAUCUGUCUUAGAAGUACAACCAGAAUGCUCCUUAGAAGCAAGGAUGGUGAGACUGCGUCUUACAUACUUUGGACAUGUUGUCAGGAGGGAUCAGUCCCUGGAGAAGGACAUCAUGCUUGGCAGAGUACAGGGUCAGCAGAAAAGAGGAAGACCCUCAAUGAGGUGGACUGACACAGUGGCUGCAGCAAUGAGCUCAAGCAUAACGAUUGUAAGGAUGGCUCAGGACCGGGCAGUGUUUCGUUCUGUUGUGCAUAGGGUUGCUAUGAGUCAGAACUGACUCGACGGCACCUAGCAACAACAACAACAACAUGUCAAAUAGACAUCACCUGUCUAUCAGUGUGUCUUAUCAUGGUGUUUUGCGUGUUGCUAUGAUACUGGAAGCUAUGCCACCAGUAUUUCAAAUGGCAGCAGGUUUACCUAUGGUGGACAGGUUUCAGUAGAGCUUCCAGACUAAGCUAGAUCAGGAAGAAAAGCCCGACAACCUACUUCUGAAAAUUAGUCAAUGAAAACCACAUGGAUUACAACAGCAUAUUGUCCAAUAUAGUUCUGGAAAAUGAGCCCCUAGGUAGGAAUAUGUUCAAAAUACACAGUGGCCGCAACAAUGGACUCGAGAGUACCAACAAUCGUAAAGAUGGCACAGGACUGGGCAACGUUUUGUUCUGCCGUACAUGGUGUUGCCAGCAGUCAGAGCCAACUUCACGUCAGCUAACGGCAACAUAGCAAAUAGAUUUACUUUGUUCAUGUUUUCUCAUAGUUUCAGAGGCCAACAGAUAUGUAAUGCAUAUCUUCGUUGAGGCUGAUCAAUGAUCAUGAGUAGACCAAGAACAUUCAUAUUGGAGCGAGUGAUAUAUCCCUAUUCAAAUGCAGAUGCUCUAAGUGCUAGAGACACAGUUAACAGAGUCUCAUUUUAACACAGGAAAUGUUGGUUUGUUUCCCUUUCCUGAGGGCAAGGCAGGGGCACCCGCACCCAGUUUGCAGCUCACUAUGCAGACAGCAAGGCCUCCUUAUCUAUAAAUAACAUCGGUGAAGUUUACAGUCAGAGAGAAAAUUGAGGUUUUUUUUUCUGCUAGUCUUUCAAAUGAAAUAUAAGCAAGAUUAUGAUGAGAACAGUGGUGACGGGAGCAGAAAGGGAAGGGUGCAAGCAUUUGAAUAUUUUUUGUUUUUCUCUUUAACUUAAGAGAACCCCUUAAUGGUUAACUCAUACCGUAGAAAUGUACGGGUUUAAAUUCUCCCUGGUUUUUCAAAAGGGGAUAGUUGGUUUGGGGAGCGUGUAGACAGAGAACCUUUAUUAACUAUGUCUGAACUAUUUGACGCUAGCUAGCUCUGUGAUUUUUGAAAAGUCAUUUGAGGUACAAGGCUUAAGCACUGAAGAUCUUCUCAUCUUGGCUAGAAGAUGAUAACGUUCUUCUCUAAGGUUCCUGGGCCCUCUGCUCUUCGUUCUGUGUUAUGCUGCAUACAUCCUUUGACGUGAAGAAUUGAAAACCGCCUAUUGGAACGCAUGAAUACAAUCCUCCACCUCCAGUCACUCUCCAAAUCUCAUCUGAUCUUUUUCCUUAAAGUAACAGACAAAUGUUGUAGUGUGAUUUUGUUGUAGAGUCCCAGAAAUAGCUGGUAUAAAGCGGGAGUAGCUGUAUUGGUGAUGGGGGACUAAUGUAUUAAUUGCCAAGUAACAGGCAUAGUAGAGGCAUUGGUGGUUCGGUGGUAGAAUUCUUGACUUCCGCGAGGAAGACCUGGUUUGGUUCCUGGCCAGUGCACCUCAUAUGCAGCCACGACCUAUCUCUCAGUGGAGGCUUGCGUGUCGCUGUGAUACUGAACAGGUUUCAACGGAGAUUCCAGACCUAGAUGGACUCGGAAGAAAGGCCUGGAGAUCUACUUCUGAAAAACCAGAAAAUGAAAACCCUACGGAUUACAACCAAUCUGUUGUGCAUGGGGUUGCCAUGAGUUGGGGCACCUAAGGGUAACAAUAAACAUCGUAGUUGCAAUUACAUACCCGGAAAUGUGCUGCGAAUUGUGUAGAAGAGAGGGAGAUUCCUCACUGGGGUAUUUCCAUAUCUAUCCUAGGGCAUUGUAAUGCUAGUAGUUCUUGCCAACUUUCUCUGCAAGGUGUGACUUCCAUGGCCACUCCUAGGAGGUAUUUAUCAAAUGUCUCGACAACUAUCUGUCUGCCCACAGGUAACAUAGCCUUCAUACACUGUCAUCUGGCCACAUCUCCCUCUUCUUAACAGCACCAACACCCUGUCAUUUUGAUAUGACCACUGGGUCCGUGUACUUACCUCCAACAACACCACUGUGCUUUUCCUGAACAACUGGUGUGCAGUAAGAAAGUGAGAAGACAGAGAUAAGUUGAGAGAAGAACUGUUAAGCAAAAAAUACCCCAGGUCUUCAUGAUGUGGAAAAUUCUCAGCCUCUCCAGAUGAUGCUAAAUAUGCUAAAAUUAAAAGCCUCUCCACCUGGCCAUGAAUAAGUAAGCCACCAUGAGUCUACAGCUUCCAGGAAAUUCAUUUUGGCAACAACCUUGUGAGCUUGGAAGAGGAUCUUAGCCUCAGAUGAGAUCACAGCCCAGCCGACACCUUGACUGCAGCCUUGUGAGACCCUGAGUAGAACACCCAGCUGUGCUCUACCUGGACUUCUGAUCUACAGAAACUACGAGAUAAUAAAUGUAUUUUGUUUCACCUGUCAAGUUUGUGGUAAUUUGUUACGCAGCAAUAGAAAACAAAUUCACAUACCUUAGGACUCUACAGUUUACACACUGAUCAUGCCAUUGUUGAAGAGUAAACAAACCCAAGCUUAGGACAUAUGAUCAUAAUUUAUUAUGUUUAUAAUAAAGAAGUAGUAUUUUGAGAUCCUUUUGGGAUUAUUAUCUCAGAAAAGUAAUAUGGAAUAAUUUAGGAUUUCUGAAUAUAUCAGCAGAAAACCACAAACCAUCCAAGAUAUAUACUUGGAUUUAAACCUCCAGGGAUGAUUUUUACUGCCAAAGAGAGUACAAAUUUUACCAGUGAUGGAAUAGUUUAGAAGCACACAAAUAUUUCAACUACCGUUUCAGAUGGACAAUCUUAGAUACUAAGAGAGAGGUGUGUGGGCUGGUGCUAGAAGUGGCACUCACCUGUGCUUCACCCAGGUGUCAGACUCAUUGGCUCGCUCCGUGUAGUUCUCAGGUAGGAAGCCUCGGCAGCCCGUCCACCGCGAGAUCCCAAUCACCCAGCCUUCACUGGCUUCCUCCUGAUGAGUUGGGUCCACAAAGAUGUAGUCGCCAGGACUUAGCAUCAGCUCAUCCAUGUUCUGGGGUUUAUACUGGAAUAUGGCCCUCAAGGUCUAGAAAAGAAGAAAUGUCUUUUCAUGUCUCAAGGAAAAAUUUGUGUUGGGAAAUGAUAGCAAUUGCUGUUGUUGACGGCUGUCCAGUUGACCUCUUCCUCAUGGCAGCCCCAUGCACAAUGAAAUGAAAUGCUGCCCAGUCCUGUGCCAGUCGCAUGAUCACUUAUAGAUUGGGCUGUUGUGUUCUAUAGGCUGAUUUUUUUAGAAGUAGGUCACCAGGCCUUUCUUCCUAGUUCAUCUUUGUCUGGAAACUCCACUGAAGCCCUUUUAGCAUUGUGAUUGAUUGAAUUGUGUCACCCCUAAAAUAUGUGUAGUAAAUUCUAACCUCUAUGCCUAUAGUUUUUUUGGGGGUGGGGGUUUAUGCCUAUAGUUACAUAGACCAAGAAGCAGUCAUUCAAACAGAAUGAGGGGAUACUACAUGGUUUAAAGGAGGAACGGUGUGUGUCAGGGUUGUAUCCUUUCACCGUAUUUAUUCAAUCUGUGUGCUAAGCAAAUAAUCCAAGAAGCUGGACUAUAUGAAGAACAGGGCAUCAGGAUUGGAGGAAGACUCAUUAACAACCUGCGUUAUGCAGGUGACACAACCUUGCUUGAUGAAAGUGAAGAGGACUUGAAGUACUUACUGAUGAGGAUCAAAGCACAGCCUUCAGUAUGGAUUGCACCUCAACAUAAAGAAAACAAAAGUCCUCACCACUGGACCAACAAGCAACACCAUGAUAAAUGGAGAAAAGAUUGAAGUUGUCAAGGAUUUCAUUUUACUUGGAUCCACAAUCAACAGCCAUGGAAGCAGCAGUCAAGAAAUCAAAGGAUGCAUUGCAUUAGGCAAAUCUGCUGUAAAAGACCUCUUCAAAGGGUUAAAAAGCUAACAUGUCACCUUGGAGACUAAGGUGCACCUGGCCCAAGGCAUGGCGUUUUCAAUUGCCUCAUAUGCAUACAAAAGCUGGAUAAUGAAUAAGGAAGACCCAAGAAGAAUUGAUGCCUUUGAAUUAUGGUGUUGGCAAAGAAUAUUGAAUAUACUAUAGACUGCAAGAAAAACGAACAAAUCUGUCUUGGAAGAAGUACAGCCAGAAUGCUCCUUAGAAGCAAGGAUGGUGAGACUUCAUCUCACAUACUUUGGACAUGUUAUCAGGAGGGACCAGUCCCUGGAGGAGACAUUAUGCUUGGUAGAGGGUCAGUGAAAAAGUGGAGGACCCUCAAGGGAAUGGAUUGACAGAGUGGCUGUAACAAUAGGCUCAAGCAUAACAACGGUUAUGAGGAUGGUGCCGGACUGGGCAGUGGUUUGUUCUGUUGUACAUAGGGUCACUAUGAGUCGGAACUGACUCAAGGCCACCACCACCAACAACAUGCCUGUGGUUAUAAGCCCAUUUGGGAAUGAGUUGUCUUUGUUAUGUUAAUGAGAAAGGAUUACUGUAGGGUGUGUUUUGAGUCAAUCUCUUUUGAGACACAGAAGAGAUUAAACAAGCAAGUGAGGCAGAGAGAUGCUAAGUCACAGGAGGAUUGCCCAGAUGCAGAAGCACGGAAGAGACAAGGAUCUUCCUCCAGAGCUGGCGGAGAGAGAAAGCCUUUCCUGUGAGCUGGCACCCUGAUUUGGACUUCCAGCCCCCUAAACUAUGAGAAGGAGCCCUGGUGGCGCAGUGGUUAAGGGAUCAGUCACAAACCAAGUUCAGCCGUUGAAAUUCGCCAGCCGCUCCUUGGAAACCCUAUGGGGCAAUUCUACCCGGUCCUAUGAGGUUGCUGUGAUUCACAAUCGACUUGAUGGCAGUGGGGGUUUUGGUAAACUGUAAGAAAAUAAAUUUCUCUUUGUUAAAGCCACCCACUUGUGGCAUUUCUGUUAUAGCAGCACUGGAUAACUAAGACAAGCGUCAUAGCAAGACACAAGCCUCCACUGACAGACAGGCAGUGAGUGUGCAUGAACUGCACUGGCCGGGAAUCGAACCUAGGUCUCCCACAUGCAAGGUGAGAAUUCUACCACUGAACCACGAAUGCCCCCGUGACAGCAAUACAAGCGUUGUUUACAUUUUGCCUGUUGCUUUCAGGAUCCCCUAAUACGUUAUAUGCCUCUAAAACAAGACCUAAGACUUUGUGUAAGAUACAUAACAUGGAAUAUAACAAAAUAUAGCAUAGAAUUCUUUAGGUAGAUUAAAAAAUAAAUUUGGUAGACUUAAAAACCACUGCGUAAGUUCAAGCUGCCAAACUUUAGGUGGUUAUUUUUCUUAGGUGCCAUCAAGUUGAUUCUGACUCAUAGAGACCCUAUAGGACAGAGUAGAACUGCCCCAUAGGGUUUCCAAGGAGCGGCUGGUGGAUUUGAACUGCCAACCUUUUGGUUAGCAGCCAAGCUCUUAACCACUGCACCACCAGGGCUCCACAGGUUAGCAGUCGAAUGCAAACUGUUUGCACCACCCAGGGACAUUUAUAUAAAAGAAUACUUGUUCCAAAUUGCACAAGAAAGCACAUGGUUUUAGAGAAAAUGUAGAAGUUCUGUCUGCUGCAAAAAGCAGCCCAGCAGAGAGCCCCCAGAGAUAAAUACUCUUUUAGGUGAGGGUCAUUCAUGUGGUUUCCGUGGUGAGGAUCCAAUCCAAUCUCACUGACCAGGGUUUCUCCAGCUGAGGCCUCCCGCAUGGUCACCCACCUGGUAGUGUACAAAGCGCAUGUCUCGGGAGUACAGUGCAGCCGUCCAUUGGCAGCCGGGGCUCAGGGGGAUGCCUUUGGCCAGCUGCUCCAGCGUCCUCUGGUGGUGGGGGUAGAACUUGUGGGCCAGUGUCAUGUGGAGCUGCUUGGUGCAGGGUUUCACGGUGCAGUCUGUGAGGUCGGGAAAACACAUGGAGGUUAGGACACCUUCACCUAAACACUCAUGGCUACCGGUCCAGCAAAGGCGGCAGAAAUGAUGUUACACGUGGUGUCUCGGCCUCUCCCCACCCUCCCUCCACUGCACUGCACCUCCUGGCCCAGGGCAAGGACUUGGUCCUGGGCUUCGUGGCCUCUCUCACAGAGUUCGCCUUAUAAAAAGAGCUGGUUAAAGACCUGCAGCUUUCACAAGAAAGUAGGAAAGAGCAAGGACUAGAGAUGUAAGUUUAAGGUCUUUUAAAAUCAGUUUCCAUGGGGUCCAUUUGACUCAUAGCAACUCACGUGUGUCAGAGAAGAACUGUGCUCCACAGAGUUUUCAGUGGCUGAUUUUCCAGAAGUAGGUUGCCAGGCCUUUCUUCCCAGGCACCUCCGGGCAGGUUCAAACCUCUGACCUUUUGGUUAGCAGCUGGGUGUAUUAACUGUUUGUACCACCCACUGACUAAUUUUAGGAUCAAAUCCCCCUUUAUAUUUGGGCAUAUGGUGUCUGACUUACCUAACCAUUUGAUAAAGCCACUCUGGUGUAAGAAGAGUCAAACAACUUGAUUCUAGUCCUAGUUGUGUUACUAGAUACUGAGCCAUUGUGGUCAAGGUACAGCAAAACCGGCCCUCAGUUCUUCAAUGACAAAGUAACCUCUGAUGGUCCUUCCCAUUGUAAAUCUUGAUAUUUUAAAAGUUCAUUAACUGGUCCAGGAGAACUAUAAAACCAGUUGCCAUUGAGUCGGCCCUGAUUUAUAGUGACCCCAUGUGUGUCAGAGUAAAGUUGUACUCCAUAUGGUUUUCAAAGGCUUAUUUUUUGGAAGUAGAUUGCCAGGCCUUUCCUCCAAGGUACUUCUGGGUUGACAUGAACCUCCAAACUUUCAGUUACCAGCUGUCUUAAUCAUCUAGUGCUGCUAUAACAGAAAUACCACAAGUGGAUGGCUUUAUCGAAGAGAAAUUUAUUUUCUCACAGCCUAGUAGGCUAGAAGUCCAAAUUCAGGGUGUCAGCUUCAGGGGAAGGCUUUCUCUCUCUGUUGGCUCUGGAGAAAGGCCCUUGUGAUCAAUCUUCCCCUGGAC